UACGGAGGGUGCGAGCGUUGUCCGGAAUCACUGGGCGUAAAGGGCGCGUAGGCGGCUUCUUAAGCGGGCGGUGAAAGCCCGGGGCUCAACCCCGGGUCGGCCGUGCGAACUGGGAAGCUCGAGCACUGUAGAGGCAGGUGGAAUUCCGGGUGUAGCGGUGGAAUGCGUAGAGAACCGGAAGAACACCGGUGGCGAAGGCGGCCUGCUGGGCAGUGGCUGACGCUGAGGCGCGACAGCGUGGGGAGCAAACGGG
RNAcentral lists this ribosomal RNA (253 nucleotides) under uncultured bacterium. RNAcentral describes it as "partial 16S ribosomal RNA". It matches the Rfam family "Bacterial small subunit ribosomal RNA", at positions 524 to 776 of the family's 1533-position model. The record is from RNAcentral.